RNAcentral lists this long non-coding RNA (428 nucleotides) under Ictidomys tridecemlineatus (thirteen-lined ground squirrel). RNAcentral describes it as "lncRNA (ENSSTOG00000029313.1)". Lineage: Eukaryota; Metazoa; Chordata; Mammalia; Rodentia; Sciuridae. The record is from RNAcentral.
AGGUUGUAAAUGGUAUGGGCACCGAAUAGGCAACAAAGAAUGCCCUUUCUUUAUCAAAGGCAACCAGAAGCUAGAACAGUUCAGAGGAGCACAUGAAGAUCCCAUGUAUGACAUCAUUCAAGACAAUAAAAGACAUGAAAAGGAUAUGAGGAUACAACAUCUAAAGCAGUUACUGGAGAAUUCUACCUCAGAAGAGGAUGGGAGCAACUCCAGUUCCUCAGAAUAUAAAGGGAAGAAAAAAAGAAGAAGAAGAAGAAGAAGAAGAAGAAGAAGGAUAACAUAAGAAAAGGAAGAAAGAAAAGAGAAAGAAAAAGAAACAGAAGCAUAAGUCUUCCAAGUCAAGUGAGAGUUCAGACUCAGACUGACAAGGACUGGACUUGCUCAGCAGUCUCUUUCCAACAAUCCAACUCUGUGGCCAAAGAACAGAG